UGUUUGAAUUCCCAUAGACAAAUUCCUUGUCGUUUUUAACCUGUAAAAAAAAUUAAAAUCCAUCAGUGGGUGAAGGACAACAUUUGAUAUGAGAUCACUUGAGUUGCCAAGAGAAGCUGGCCAAACCUGACUGGAAGGGGAACCUGGUAGGAAUGACGAUGGAGCAGCAAUGGCUGGAGUCUCUGGGAGCAACUCAGGAGGUUAAAACAGGUCCAUUUCAUGAAAUAUAAGCCAAGAAAUAAAAAGAAACUGGAAUUACCAGAAACACUCUGCAGGAUGGCCAUCCAGCCACAUCUGUAGAAGCUCAAACCAAAGUCAAAGCCAAAACACCAGCAGUUCCAUUUGCCUGGAAAGCCGAUCACAGGAUUAGAGCCCAAGCACCAACUCUCCCAGUACUCUUUGCUGCCAGUAAAAUGCUGCAGUGUGUCAGCCCGUCACUGUUCAUAAACGAGCACCUCCACACCAAUGCACAACAGAACUGGGACCUGAUGACCCUCCGGCAUUCCAGCUAACAAUAACCGUUUCUGGAAAUGACUCAGCGAGGCCAAAGGUUCAAAAGAACACUUCACAAUGAAGACAGAGAUUGGAAGAAAGAUUG
Hypanus sabinus (Atlantic stingray) is the source of this 598-nucleotide long non-coding RNA. RefSeq lists it as uncharacterized. NCBI's taxonomy places the organism in Eukaryota, Metazoa, Chordata, Chondrichthyes, Myliobatiformes, Dasyatidae. The transcript is spliced from 4 exons. The record is from RefSeq and is a predicted model, not a curated record.